GGCGGUUUGUCGCGUCUGCUGUGAAAGCCCGGGGCUCAACCCCGGGUCUGCAGUGGGUACGGGCAGACUAGAGUGCAGUAGGGGAGACUGGAAUUCCUGGUGUAGCGGUGAAAUGCGCAGAUAUCAGGAGGAACACCGAUGGCGAAGGCAGGUCUCUGGGCUGUUACUGACGCUGAGGAGCGAAAGCAUGGGGAGCGAACAGGAUUAGAUACCCUGGUAGUCCAUGCCGUAAACGUUGGGCACUAGGUGUGGGGGACAUUCCACGUUCUCCGCGCCGUAGCUAACGCAUUAAGUGCCCCGCCUGGGGAGUACGGCCGCAAGGCUAAAACUCAAAGGAAUUGACGGGGGCCCGCACAAGCGGCGGAGCAUGCGGAUUAAUUCGAUGCAACGCGAAGAACCUUACCAAGGCUUGACAUUCACCGGACCGCCCCAGAGAUGGGGUUUCCCUUCGGGGCCGGUGGGCAGGUGGUGCAUGGUUGUCGUCAGCUCGUGUCGUGAGAUGUUGGGUUAAGUCCCGCAACGAGCGCAACCCUCGUUCUAUGUUGCCAGCACGUGAUGGUGGGGACUCAUAGGAGACUGCCGGGGUCAACUCGGAGGAAGGUGGGGAUGACGUCAAAUCAUCAUGCCCCUUAUGUCUUGGGCUUCACGCAUGCUACAAUGGCCGGUACAAAGGGUUGCGAUACUGUGAGGUGGAGCUAAUCCCAAAAAGCCGGUCUCAGUUCGGAUUGAGGUCUGCAACUCGACCUCAUGAAGUCGGAGUCGCUAGU
This 767-nucleotide ribosomal RNA is filed under the name uncultured bacterium. RNAcentral's name for it is "bacterial SSU rRNA". It matches the Rfam family "Bacterial small subunit ribosomal RNA", at positions 574 to 1339 of the family's 1533-position model. The record is from RNAcentral.